RNAcentral lists this long non-coding RNA (1638 nucleotides) under Dromaius novaehollandiae (emu). RNAcentral's name for it is "lncRNA (ENSDNVG00000005530.1)". Lineage: Eukaryota; Metazoa; Chordata; Aves; Casuariiformes; Dromaiidae. The record is from RNAcentral.
UGGUCAGCCAAGUACUCCUUGUAAUUCAGAAGUGCCACUCACUUCUCUAGAUACAGGAGACUUCAGCAGAGACCAAUUCACUACAGUAGGACUUUUUCAACUUUGUAAAAAUAAACGCUGGCAUUUAAAGUUACCUUAAAAAAGCUAAGUAGCUGACUGUUGGUUGUCCAUCUCCACAGAACACUUUCAAGCAGGGAGUUUAUUUCUACAUUGAAUUUAACUUAAACCCAAAAAAGGGAACUUCUGUUUGCAAAGCAACUACUCAGGAUGUGACUGUUGUUUCCUAAUAUAGCCAUGUGACCUGGCUUUUUUUUUUUUUUUUUUUAAAGACACUGCAAAAGAGCUAAAUCCAGAGAAUUUCGGUGAAACCACUCCAUUGCCAAAACCUCAGAAUGAUCUUACUAACAAGCUGGAUAUCAGUCCUAACAACAUUUCUUCUUUCCUUACAUUUCUGGAGAGCAAAGGUCUAUGCCUCUGGAAAUUCAGAGGAGGAAAUAGAUUUCACAUAUGUUAUCAUAGGAGUUACUCUGGGAACCUUUCUAUCAGUUGCUUUUGUAGCAGUAAUAAUCUGUAUGAUCAGAAAAAAUAUGCUUGACAAUGCCUUUGGAGAAUCAGAUGGCAAAAUGGAUAGAAGGUAAGACUCCUUGCUCCUGGUGUUUUCCAAGGUCUAGUGGAACAUACAAACUGUAAUGUUUAAUUACUCUCUCUCUUUAUGCAUAAUGCUUACCCACAACUGUGAUUUCCACAAUAUAUAACAUAUAUGCAAGCCUCUGGAGAAUCAUGACACCUAUCAUGAUAUCUACUGGAGCUGCAUGGAAAAAGGAUGUUCCAUAUAACAGAGGAUUUUGACAUUUCAGAAUUAGGAAAGAAAUCUCAGCAGACCGAGAUUCUUUCUAAAAAAAAAAUCCCUUGAACACUUUUGAUGUUGAUGUUUUAGUUUGUGCUACAUAUUAUAAUAGCAAGCUCACAAAAAAGAAAGCAUUUUUGAGGGCUGCAAGCCAAAGACCUUGUUUCAAAGGUGCUGAAGUUGGACGUUCUUUGGUAUUGCUAGAACUUUUCAACAUUUUAUCUGAAACAAAGUUUGACUAUAUUGACAUAUUUGACUAUAUUGACACUUUAGAUUUAAACAAAAAUGUGUAAUUCAGGUCAAAUGGCUUCAUCAAAAUUUUCCCAAACACUGUGACUAGAUCUCGAUUCUGGGAACUGCCUUCAACAGACCUUAYAGAGCAAGGCCACGCAGUGGUCAUUCCUGCUGCAAGGGAUGCAUUUUUGCCCUUCACCUUCCUCCCUCCUACCAGGCAUGGUGAGAGCCUCCUCCACAGGCACAAGAGGCAGUGCUAGACUGCCUAGACAAUCGCCGCUCCUCAUCUCCUCUGAGGAGUGGGCAGUAGCGUGGAGAUGUACACAGGGGUCUGCAAGUUGUCCUUUGGAUCAUGGUAACCCACAUGUAUAGAUAUGUUUUGCUUCCCUGUAAGAUUUUAUAAAUGAGUAAAAAAAUGCAUGAAUUAAUCAGCAUUCUCAUGAACUGAAGGCAGCAGCUGUACUCAAUGACCUGAAAAAAAGGCUCUUGGCCUCUCUGGGGGAGGUGGAUAGAAGCACUAAUGGGCUUGUCCCCAUCAGGGUCAUUCUUCAUAGAGG